GGGUAUGUAGCUUAAUUGGCAGAGCAUCUGACUCUUAAUCAGAGUGGUGUAGGUUCGAUGCCUACCAUGCCCA
RNAcentral lists this transfer RNA (73 nucleotides) under Aureispira sp. RNAcentral describes it as "tRNA-Lys". It matches the Rfam family "tRNA". Rfam says of the family: Transfer RNA (tRNA) molecules are approximately 80 nucleotides in length. Their secondary structure includes four short double-helical elements and three loops (D, anti-codon, and T loops). The record is from RNAcentral. RNAcentral also lists the same sequence under 1 other name. Lineage: Bacteria; Pseudomonadati; Bacteroidota; Saprospiria; Saprospirales; Saprospiraceae.